CUCAGACAUCAGUGCUUUCAAAAGCUCCACAGUUUAGCCAUUCCUGUUAUUCUCUGCUGUGCCUUACCCUAAUCUGCUAAUUGGAAUGGAUUACGGAAAGAAAAAAGUAUAAAGAGAAAAAUGAAACAACAGAAGGAAAGGUGCAAAUCGAGAAACUGGAAGGGCUUAUCUGGCACAAUCACAUGGAUCUACCGUAAGAGCUUGAUCAGCCAUUCUGAUGUCUGCACACACUGGGAACAGAUAGGGUGUUAACAUUUCCUGGAACAAUGCUUUACCAAUGGGCAGGAACUAGUAGGUAAGUAUUCUCUUUUUUCCAAUCUCAGAGAUUUCUAAGGCACAUUCCAUACAGCUGUUG
This 355-nucleotide long non-coding RNA is filed under the name Homo sapiens (human). RNAcentral's name for it is "HSALNT0354671". Lineage: Eukaryota; Metazoa; Chordata; Mammalia; Primates; Hominidae. The record is from RNAcentral.